UAGGGAAUCUUCGGCAAUGGGGGGAACCCUGACCGAGCAACGCCGCGUGAGUGAAGAAGGUUCUCGGAUCGUAAAGCUCUUUUGUUAAGGAAGAACGAGUGUGAGAAUGGAAAGUUCAUGCUGUGACGGUACUUAACCAGAAAGGGACGGCUAACUACGUGCCAGCAGCCGCGGUAAUACGUAGGUCCCGAGCGUUGUCCGGAUUUAUUGGGCGUAAAGCGAGCGCAGGCGGUUAGAAAAGUCUGGAGUGAAAGGCAGUGGCUCAACCAUUGUAGGCUUUGGAAACUGUUUAACUUGGGUGCAGAAGGGGGGGGUGGAGUUCCACGUGUAGCGGUGAAAUGCGUAGAUAUAUGGGGGAACACCGGUGGCGAGAGCGGCUCUCUGGUCUGUAACUGACGCUGGGGCUCGAAAGCGUGGGGAGCGAACAGG
RNAcentral lists this ribosomal RNA (429 nucleotides) under Verrucomicrobiota bacterium. RNAcentral describes it as "Verrucomicrobia bacterium partial 16S ribosomal RNA". It matches the Rfam family "Bacterial small subunit ribosomal RNA", at positions 355 to 776 of the family's 1533-position model. The record is from RNAcentral. Lineage: Bacteria; Pseudomonadati; Verrucomicrobiota.